CAAUAGCGUAUAUUAAAGUUGUUGCAGUUAAAAAGCUCGUAGUUGGACCUUGGACCUGGACAGGCGGUCCGCCUCACGGCGAGUACUGUCUUGCUGGGUCUUUCCUCUUGGUGAUCUGUUGUUUCGGCAGCAGGGAACCAGGACCUUUACUUUGAAAAAAUUAGAGUGUUCAAAGCAGGCUCGACGCCGGAAUAUAUUAGCAUGGAAUAAUAAAAUAGGACGUGCGGUUCUAUUUUGUUGGUUUUGGAAUCGCCGUAAUGAUUAAUAGGGACAGUCGGGGGCAUUAGUACUCACAUGCUAGAGGUGAAAUUCUUGGAUUUUGUGAAGACUAACUUCUGCGAAAGCAUUUGCCAAGGACGUUUUCAUUAA
This 369-nucleotide ribosomal RNA is filed under the name uncultured eukaryote. RNAcentral describes it as "partial 18S ribosomal RNA". It matches the Rfam family "Eukaryotic small subunit ribosomal RNA", at positions 592 to 976 of the family's 1831-position model. The record is from RNAcentral.